CUUUCUUAGCCAGAUUGCUCUAGUCGCUCACAAGGGGGAGAUUGGACUAUGAAAAAAGAUUACUGCUGCAGCUUGCAUUCCUGCUGCAAGGGCCUCCUCUUCAGACGGCCUUUGCCAGAGCAGAACUUUUCAAAAUGCUUCAAAUAGGAUCUUCUUUUUUUCUCCUUUAUUUAAGCCUUCUUCUUUUUUAAAAAAAAAUGGGACUAAUUUUUCUUGUUUUCUGUGCUGUGCUUGGCUGUACAGUAUAUUGCAAUGUUGAGGUUAAAGCUACAAGUAUUUCUACCACCACCCCCGCUGAUACAUUUUUUUUUCGGUCUUGGUUAAAGAAAUUGAUUUAUUUGACUGAGCAAUGAAUCAGGAUUUGCUAGUUUGUAUGCUGUGAGAAUGAUGGCUUUUAUUUGCAGUUUUUUUUCUGAGUGCCAAUUUCCUGUGCUGCUCAUGGAACCAGCUUCUUUCUUUCUGUAUAUUUUUUAAUUGCUUCAGGUAUCUGUGGUACAUGAACCAGGAUGGAUGAUAGCCCUCCAACCCCCUUGUAAUCUGACCGUGGCUGAAAUGGAAAUACUGCAGGGCUUUUUUGUCCUUGCAGGGUCCCUCCCCUCCCUUUCUUUCACUGUUUAGGAGGGAAAAGGGGUGUGCAGUAAAAUGCUGUCUCUGGGACAGGUGCCAGCUCCAAGACAAAAGGAAUAAAAUAGGCGGCAAACGGGGAAAAUUAAUAGUCAACAAAAAUAGGAAUUGGAAAUGUUCUCCUAUUGUUGUUGCUGGGAGCUGGCAGCCAGGGGUAGUUGUGGCAGGGAAAGCAUGUGGAUGAGAAGCUGGAACCGGUUGCUAGGUAAGGACCGCCUUCCCUUCUUCCAGGCCUGCAUGCACUUGCACAAUCAAGAAAUGCCAUGGAGCUCACUCAGUGUCUUCCAUCUGCUUUUACAGGAGACUGCAGAACUGCAAGGUGAACACAUUGGCAUCCUCUCUCCAUAUCUGGUCCCUGAGGCUUGUUUCCCACCAUUCACAGGUAUGUCUGUCUCAGAUUGCACCCAAAAAGAUGCAGUAGUUAUUUGGCAAGAUGAAAUCAAGGCACACAAAGAAAAGGCUCCUGAGAAUCCAUUGAGAGGCUUUCAGGCCCUCAGAAGUUGUACCAACCAGAAUCCACUGUCAACUACCUUGGGCAUGUGCCUGCUCUGA
RNAcentral lists this long non-coding RNA (1176 nucleotides) under Gopherus agassizii (Agassiz's desert tortoise). RNAcentral's name for it is "lncRNA (ENSGAGG00000010438.1)". The record is from RNAcentral. Lineage: Eukaryota; Metazoa; Chordata; Testudines; Testudinidae.